AUGAACGCUGGCGGCGUGCUUAACACAUGCAAGUCGAACGGAAAGGCUCCUGCUUGCAGGGGUACUCGAGUGGCGAACGGGUGAGUAACACGUGGGUGAUCUGCCCUGCACUUCGGGAUAAGCCUGGGAAACUGGGUCUAAUACCGGAUAGGACGAUGGUUUGGAUGCCAUUGUGGAAAGUUUUUCGGUGUGGGAUGAGCUCGCGGCCUAUCGGCUUGUUGGUGGGGUAAUGGCCUACCAAGGCGUCGACGGGUAGCCGGCCUGAGAGGGUGUACGGCCACAUUGGGACUGAGAUACGGCCCAGACUCCUACGGGAGGCAGCAGUGGGGAAUAUUGCACAAUGGGCGCAAGCCUGAUGCAGCGACGCCGCGUGGGGGAUGACGGCCUUCGGGUUGUAAACUCCUUUCGCUAGGGACGAAGCGCAAGUGACGGUACCUGGAGAAGAAGCACCGGCUAACUACGUG
RNAcentral lists this ribosomal RNA (464 nucleotides) under uncultured bacterium. RNAcentral describes it as "partial 16S ribosomal RNA". It matches the Rfam family "Bacterial small subunit ribosomal RNA", at positions 29 to 507 of the family's 1533-position model. The record is from RNAcentral.